Molecule: ribosomal RNA, 223 nt
Filed under: uncultured bacterium
Lineage: Bacteria
Description: partial 16S ribosomal RNA
Rfam family: Bacterial small subunit ribosomal RNA
Source: RNAcentral
UAACGCGUGGGUAACCUGCCUCAUACAGGGGGAUAACAGUUAGAAAUGACUGCUAAUACCGCAUAAGCGCACAGCAUCGCAUGAUGCCGUGUGAAAAACUCCGGUGGUAUGAGAUGGACCCGCGUCUGAUUAGCUAGUUGGUGAGGUAACGGCCCACCAAGGCGACGAUCAGUAGCCGACCUGAGAGGGUGACCGGCCACAUUGGGACUGAGACACGGCCCAA